UAGGAUUUCCCAAUCUAUUUCCCCCUUUUCUCUCACUCUAUCUGCUCUCUGAUGUCCCCGUCGCUUAUCUUCAACUUUCAUUUCAUUCUUUUUCAUCUGUGGGUGAUUAACACCUUGCCAUAACAGCUGCAUCAGUGUAUCCUUAUCAGCACUGAGAUCUUCGGUGGAUGGAACAAUACUUGCCUUUUUGAGCUUCGUUGAAGGGUCUAUUAACCUGGAUAUUGUUACCCGCUCCAAGUACGUUGAAGGGUCUAUUAACCUGGAUAUUGUUACCCGCUCCAAAUGCAACUGGGAUGAAGAUACUGAGAUGCUUGGACUCACUGGUAUUUGGAAAGUAACUAUCAUCCAAGUUAUGCAAUACCAUAUCGUGGAGACCCUUCCCUUUUGCUGCGAGUCCAAUUUGUAGGCUGUUGUAGAAUAGGCUAAGUGACUCAACAUUAACAUUGUUUUUGUGGCCUUGCAUGGCUUGUAUAUAGACGUAUGUGCAGUUUAAUCCUUAGCCUGAUCAACCCCUCACCUCCUCUGUGGUGACAAUCUUAAGUAUGGUAUUUGUGCUUUAUCACGAAAAAGGGUCCUCUUUCCUUCCUUUUGAAUCUAUUGAAAGUUUGUGAAUGUUUGUGAAUGUGAA
Capsicum annuum is the source of this 628-nucleotide long non-coding RNA. RefSeq lists it as uncharacterized. The transcript has 3 exons. NCBI's taxonomy places the organism in Eukaryota, Viridiplantae, Streptophyta, Magnoliopsida, Solanales, Solanaceae. The record is from RefSeq and is a predicted model, not a curated record.